UCCCACUGUCCCCUCGAUGGGAGAUACUUACCAUUCUUCUGUUCUUCUGUCAACUGCUCUACCUAGAGAGGAAAAGGGAACUCAGGACCCAGACUUGUGCCUUUGUAGAGACUGUUGUAGAGAUCGACCCAAUCCACAGGUGGAAGAGUGGUAACAGGAGGCGCAUGCUCCAGGCCUGUACCUUCAACAUGCCUUCCCCAUCCCAGAACUCAAGUUCUCCAGCCCUCUCACAGCUGCCUCCCACCUUCCACAGCCUCUUCAGCCAGCUAAGGGGCCAGAGGAGGGCAGCAGACCUGAGCGUGUGAGAAGCAGUAGGGAGUGUGGUCUGCAGAGACACAGACAGACAAGGACUCGGAGACACAGAGAGGAAGGAACAGACGUGGGGAGACCUUGAGAAAGACCCAAAGAUGUCUAAAGAAUAGAAACACAGCCAUGACAGUGAUGACUAGACAUUUAGAAACAGAAGGAGACACAGGAUGCUGAGACCACACCCUCUAGCCGCAUUGACAAACCCCAAAACCGCUACCUUUUCUGCAUCCCCCAAACAUCAGCUCGAGGAGCUGGGCUACAGGGAAUGAGCCUAACAGCCAGGCGAGACCCUAUUAACGUCCCUUCUAGAAACGGAGGCCAGGCGAAGCCGAUGACUUUGGAGAGUUCAGAAGGCUCCUGGCCUCUGCCCUUCGCUGCUGUGGGCCCAGCGGACAAUAACCACAACUGCUCCAGAAGACAGAAGCUGCACAAGUA
Molecule: long non-coding RNA, 744 nt
Filed under: Rattus norvegicus (Norway rat)
Lineage: Eukaryota; Metazoa; Chordata; Mammalia; Rodentia; Muridae
Description: long non-coding RNA NONRATT011751
Source: RNAcentral